UUUCGCAAUGCCCGAAAGGGUGACGAAGCGACGCCGCGUGCGGGAAGAAGGCCUUCGGGUUGUAAACCGCUGUCGGGAGUUAAGAAAUGUAAGGAUGUUAAUAGCAUCUUUGCUUGACUAAGGCUCCGGAGGAAGCCACGGCUAACUCUGUGCCAGCAGCCGCGGUAAUACAGAGGCGGCAAGCGUUGUUCGGAAUUAUUGGGCGUAAAGAGCACGUAGGCGGCUAUGUAAGUCGGUUGUGAAAGCCUUCCGCUCAACGGGAGAACAGCAUCCGAUACUGCAUGGCUUGAGUGCGGGAGGGGAGAGUGGAACUUCUGGUGGAGCGGUGAAAUGCGUAGAUAUCAGAAGGAACGCCGGCGGCGAAAGCGGCUCUCUGGCCCAUAACUGACGCUGAGUGUGCGAAAGCUAGGGGGGCAAACGGGAUUAGAUACCCCGGUAGUCCUAGCCGUAAACGAUGGGCACUAAGUAGAGGGGUUUUA
RNAcentral lists this ribosomal RNA (479 nucleotides) under uncultured Planctomycetota bacterium. RNAcentral describes it as "bacterial SSU rRNA". It matches the Rfam family "Bacterial small subunit ribosomal RNA", at positions 364 to 833 of the family's 1533-position model. The record is from RNAcentral. Lineage: Bacteria; Pseudomonadati; Planctomycetota.